UGCGUAGGGUGCAAGCGUUAAUCGGAAUUACUGGGCGUAAAGCGUGCGCAGGCGGUUUUGUAAGUCUGUCGUGAAAGCCCCGGGCUCAACCUGGGAAUUGCGAUGGAGACUGCAAGGCUUGAAUCUGGCAGAGGGGGGUAGAAUUCCACGUGUAGCAGUGAAAUGCGUAGAGAUGUGGAGGAACACCGAUGGCGAAGGCAGCCCCCUGGGUCAAGAUUGACGCUCAUGCACGAAAGCGUGGGGAGCAAACAGG
Molecule: ribosomal RNA, 253 nt
Filed under: uncultured bacterium
Lineage: Bacteria
Description: partial 16S ribosomal RNA
Rfam family: Bacterial small subunit ribosomal RNA
Source: RNAcentral